UUAUUUUCUUUAUACAUUUAUUUUGCCGUUGGGGUGAGGGGUUGUGAUUGUAUGUCAGGAAACAGCCACAAGGGGAGAGAAAUACUAGAAAUUUAGUUGUAUCAUUUUUCCUGAUAGUAUUAGUUGAGUGUUUCUCUGUCUUGGUCUGGUCAGGGCCUAGUUUUGGAUGAAAAGCUUUCAAUUCUUCGAGAGGAUUGUGGUGUUCCAAGAAAAGGGAUGAUAAUAGCUAUGUUUGGAUAGCUGAUACUUUUUAUUGUAUUAAUCUUAAUGGAUUUAUUCCUUCUGGUGUACUCACUGAAAUAGAGAACCCUGAAAGGGAAUAAUAACUGGAGUAUCUUAUUUUCUUGCCACUUUGCUAAUUUUGCUAUACAUAUUUUUGUAUUACAGAUUUCCUAGUAAGUGUAGGCAUUGUAUGAAUCUUAUCUUCAUCCUUUGCUUUUGUAAAGUAUGCUGGUUGGUCUUUUAUAACUUAGGGCUCAUACAUUAAGUAAUCACAUCCAUUGAAGUCUGUUUUUGUUUGGGUUUAGCUGUUUGGCUUUUGAACAGUCCUGCUAACAGAAAUGUGAUGGAAAACUUUAAACAUUUUACUGCUGUUUAACUUUUUUCUGAUUUGUGGGUGGAUGGGUCUAGGUGAUAGGUUUGAAUCUGCAGGUUAACAAGUAAGAAAGACCUUUCAUGACCCAUGAAAUUUCCUGCAAGAAUUUUCGAUAAAAAAAUACAAAAGUUAUUUUGUUUCUUUUUUGUCUUAAUUUUCCAGGAAACACAACAUGCUUUGACAAAAUUCAGAGGACUGGAAGGCUUUGUCUGAAAACUAAAACUUCUGGGUUUGAAAAAUGUUACUGUAGUCCUCCUCAGACAUUAUGACUUGGAUGCCUGCUGGCCCUGCUCUGCAAGGCUGAGGCUGCCUGCCACCUUUGACAUUCUGCCAUGAUCUUUCCUCUUUGAAGGGAAUGCUGGAAAUGGGGAAUCCCUCAAAGUGAUCUAUCAUCAGAAUUCUCAUUUAAAUGUUUUGUACCAAAAAUAAACAGUUGGAUCCUGCUGUGGCUCUCCUCCAAUGUCUGCUGCUCUUCUCUGUUUCUUCUUGACUUCAUAGCUCGGAUUCACAUAGCCUUCCUGCCAUCAAACACUGCUGUUCCACUAGAGCAUCUUUCAGUUCUCUGGUUCUUUCUGUUAAUCUUCAGGUUUUUAGAUUCCUUUCUGAACCUCACAGCAUGUUUGAUGUUCAUGUGAAGCUGAGUGUGCAAUGCUCCAGGAGCAGGAAGAUCACAGUGGCUUCAGUCUGCAAACUGAGUGGAGAGAUGUGCCCAUGCCCACAUGGACCUGCUGAAAGAGGACGUUUUGCUCAUUCCUUCUACUUCAUUUCUCCUCACAUUCUUCUCUGGCCUAGGAAAUUUGACUUUGUCUCCUGUAGUGUUUGAACAUCUGUAUCCUUUCCUGGGCUGCUGGGUAUCACUUCAUAUUCCCUGAACUGAUGAUGGGAUUCUAUCAGAGAUGUCAGAGGACAUGGAUUUGGCAGUGGUAAGCCCUGAUAAUAUAAACCAUUACAAGCCAGAUUUUGUAAUCCAUCCAGAUCCCAAGGACGGACUCAAACAUACACGGGAGUAUUUCAGAAAACAUUCCGUGUAACUGCAGUAUAGAAGCAACUUCCUUCAAAAUCCCAAGAACUGAAAUGUUUGCAAUUGCCUGUGUAAUAUGUACUUUUCUGAUCAUUAAAGUCUGCUCUGUGCUAGUUCUCAACAUGUAAGAGCAGAUCCUGCAUUCACCGUGGGGAUGUGAUGAGCUAGCAGCAGAGAAGCAGUGCUUGCCUGCAGAGCAGUAAGACCAGUAGAAAUAAUCAGGAUUUGGGUAUUGAAAAGCAGAAAGUGAUGUGUAUGUAUGUAAAAAAUAUAGGCAGCUUUCUAAAUUAUUUUCAGGUGUCUUCUUUAAUCCAUCUGUAAAGAUGAAA
Non-coding RNA from Cyanistes caeruleus (blue tit), 1945 nucleotides. NCBI's taxonomy places the organism in Eukaryota, Metazoa, Chordata, Aves, Passeriformes, Paridae. The record is from RefSeq and is a predicted model, not a curated record.